Non-coding RNA from Neurospora crassa OR74A, 589 nucleotides. The record is from RefSeq and is a predicted model, not a curated record. Lineage: Eukaryota; Fungi; Ascomycota; Sordariomycetes; Sordariales; Sordariaceae.
GAAUUGGCCGUUGCCAUCACAAAUCACACUUGACGAUUCGAAAUCACAUAUUCUCAAUUCGUUUCUGCUCACUCAUAGGCUCUCGCGAUUCUACGAGGGGUCCAUUCAUCACCACAACUAAAAGUCCGAAUUCCGAAAGGACAAGCCAUUCUUGGCCUAUCUUUUCUGGACCUCGACGUUGCCCUGACAUUGCUGGGUCCACGUAUGCAAGAUAUCUGUGCAGGCUGUGCUGACAGCUCUAGGAGCUCGUUCCACUACCCACGACUGGCAGAGUGGAUUUGUGAGGCCUCAGCUUUGAUGGACCUCAAGAUCUGACGAAUGUCAACAAUGGCUUGUCGUUGGAGGACAAGAUGGGGACGCGUUGUUACCGGCAACCUGUGGUCCUGCGCAAGGCGGGGGGAAAGGGGGGCUGACUGGCUUCAAGUGGAGAAGAAGGACUGUCAGACACAACAGCUUUGAUAUUGCAUGGCAAUACUACUCGAGUAGCAGGGCGAUAUGAGCUGUGUCAUGGAUAGGUUUCGUAUAUUUCUGAUGGAUCAGUUCAGCUAAUGUCAGCGCAGGCCACGAACAAUCAUGUGAUUUGUUUACA